GAGAAGUAAGGGAGAUAUAUAAUUAAAUAACUCUUUAAGGGUACGAAAAUAUUAAAGUUACAAAAAUAAAAAGAAGAAAAACCUUUGGGUAUCGCAAGAAACAGAGGCCAGUGCGUGAAUGUGUUGUUGAUGGCGGUGAUAAAAAGAGAAACCUCGUAGUUGUGCGGUGAAUCAGCGGCAGAAGCGUAGCCUCAGUUGCGCAGUGAUCGAAGCAGAAAACAGAAACCUCAACAAGAAUCAGACAGAAAGUAGUAAGAUGAAUAGACGAAUUAGCAAACAGAGUAAUAUUGUUGUAAGAGACAAUAACAACCCAAAUAUAUAUACGCGCCCGCGGGAAUAAGUGUUCAACGGUAAUAUUUUUGUUCUUAAGUGCUUAUUUUUUGUGUGAGUGGCCGAUCAAAUACUUGGGUUAGCUAUUGACAAUGUUAGCGCGCGGGAAUGUAUUCAUUGAGUGUUCAACGCUAAUAAAUAAUCUUUUGCAUUUAUUAUUUACUGAGUAUAUGUUAUUAUGUCAUUCUUUCACUCACUCUCUUUAUCUCAUCACAUAACGUGUUCCCUUUCUCUUGAUUUCAUUAAUUGGAUUUGUUGAUCCUUUAAUUCCACUAAUUGGCAUCUUAUUUGUUGUCUAUGCUGCAGGAGUAGUUAGUUAUUUGCUUAAUUUCUUAACCUACCAUUCUUUUUAAAUCAGUUUUUCUGAUGUAGUUGUGGCAUUCAGAGACAGUUGGAUCUCAGCAGAAGAUUAUGUGGUGUGUACGUAAUAAGAAUGUUCUGCCAAUAAGUUUAUUUUGUUGAACUUUCAAAUAUUUCAUGUACUUUAUCUAAAUUAUCAGUUCUCAUGGGGUCCUCUCCUUAAAGACCUCACAAGACUUAAUGAUAAUGGACUUCAAAAAUCAAACAAGUAUUUGUAUAGCAGGGAGUUUUGUCAAUUUCAGACAAAAACGAGAUUUGGCAUAGUGGUUGGAGUUUUUAACACGUGAUUAAAAGACGAGUUCCAAGUUGCAGGUGAUGACUAGUACCGUCGGAGAGGCGGAAGUCAUCAUGUCUUGGAGACCCUUAUUAUUAUGCAUUGUGUUGAUGUUAUUUUGAGCAUUUUUAUUUUUGGGAAUUCCCGCUCUGAUAGUGACAUCAGGUUGGGACUACAUUUGCGAUAAGUAUGUGUACUUCAAAAAAGAUUUUGUUGUCUAAUAUUGUGAUUUCAGGUUGUUAAGUUUGAUGGAACCUUUGAAUUUAUUUGACGUGUUUGGGAUUAUGUGAUACUUUUUACCUUAAAAAAAAGAUGUUUGAAAGUUUAUAUUUAUUUAUUUAUUUAGAAAAUAAGGAAAUAAAAAUAAUCUUUUUUUAGGUUUAGGGUGUCACAUCAUCAGAAUUUCAGUCAAUGGUUGCUACCAGGAUGAUUCUUACAUCUUUCCUUGAAAUUAUUUUGUGGUGGAGGGCCUUACUUGGUAUUACUAAAAAAGUGGUUAGAUUCUAGCUUCAAAUAGUAUAACAUUAGCAUAGACAUCUUUGGAACUAAAUCUUACAAUCUACUAAAGUUUAUGUGGAGAAUAGAUAUAAAAUAUAUAUUUAGUUUUAAAAUUUUACUUUUACUCUGAUAUAGAUUACUAAUUUUUCAUUUAGAUCUUUCUCUCUUACAUGCUUGCCCCAUAUAUGUUUUUAGUUUAUAAUUCUUUUAGUUUCCAAACAAGGGGAAAAAGAUUCAUAACAAAACUAAACUAUUGGUGCAGAUCGGGGUCAAGGUUAUUCAAUAUCUUGUAUAAAAUAAACCUUUGUAGAGAGGUCUACUUUUGUUCCUCUGACAUAUUAGUUAAACCUAAUUUUCUUAAACUCUUAGUAUAAUAUGAUUUCUUGUAAAACAUGAUAUAGCAAAAGUUUAUACAAAAUUUGAGGAAGAAGUUAUAUUAUUCGUUUUAUUUCUAGCUUAUGGGUGAUUAAGAUUUUAUCCUGCCCAGUAGUUUAUGUUUGUGCAUUUUAUUGUAUUAGUGAUUGGUUUUCAUCUAUAUUACAUUUACAAUAUUACCUUGGUUUUCAUCGGAAUUGGUUUCCAUCUAUAUUACAUGCAUAAGAGUACAAGUUAUUUUUUCUUGUCAUUAUAUGAUGCACCCACAGUUGCAUAUUGUCCUGAGGCAUUCUUUUUAUAAUAUAUAAUUGUAUCAUAUUUAUAGUACUUGUUGGAAAAACCUUAAUAACGUUGUGCUCAACAAUCCAUGUCAAUUACAUGAUGAAUAGCCAAAGGCGGAAGCG
Non-coding RNA from Cicer arietinum (chickpea), 2241 nucleotides. NCBI's taxonomy places the organism in Eukaryota, Viridiplantae, Streptophyta, Magnoliopsida, Fabales, Fabaceae. The record is from RefSeq and is a predicted model, not a curated record.